CGGCGGUUCGACCCCGCCAGAGGUCAUAUGUUUUUGUUUCUGAUCAUUCUGCUUUCCCAGCCGAUGAAGCACCGAAUUUAAUUUACAUU
Trichosporon asahii var. asahii CBS 2479 is the source of this 89-nucleotide non-coding RNA. The record is from the annotation of a RefSeq genome assembly. NCBI's taxonomy places the organism in Eukaryota, Fungi, Basidiomycota, Tremellomycetes, Trichosporonales, Trichosporonaceae.